Molecule: RNA transcript, 1340 nt
Organism: Camelus dromedarius (Arabian camel)
Lineage: Eukaryota; Metazoa; Chordata; Mammalia; Artiodactyla; Camelidae
Exons: 3
Source: RefSeq, a predicted model, not a curated record
GGGAUCAGGGGCUGGGGUUGUGGGUUGGGGAGAAGGCAGGGGUAUCCUUUAUCUCUGACCUCCUUCAUUCAGCUGAGCCUGGCCCCCCUUUUAUUUUUCUCCAGUUUCUUUUUAAUGCCUCCUCGGUCUCUACCUCCGUCUCUCUUUCCCUGGGUCUCUCUCCCCUCCAGUCUCAGUCUCUCCCCAUCUGUCUCUCUCUUUGGACCUCUCUCUUUCCUUUUGCACCUGCCUUUCUGUCUCCAGGAACCCAAUGCCACUCAGACCCCUCUCCCCUAAUUUUCUUUCAUUCUCCCCCCUCUCUCUUUCUCUCUCUCUCUCUCUCUCUCUCUCUCUCUCGAAUUCUUCUCUAAGACCUUUGCCCCAUCCCCAAUUUCUCUCCCCCUUUUAUUUCUUUCCUUCUCUCCCCCAUCCUCUCAGUCUCUGUCUGUCUCUCCCCAUCUGUCUUUCCUCCCCCUCUUUGGAUGACUCUCUGUCUCUUCUUUCCUUCUGUUACCCAGAUCCCGACCCCCCCAUCCUCUCCCUCGCCCCAAUCUUUCCCCAUCCCCCAUCUCUCCCCCAGCCUCUGGGUUUCUGUCUCUGUCUCUGUCCCCUUUUCUCUCUGGAUAUUUCUCUCUGUGUGUGUCUCUCUCUCCAACUUCCUUCUGCUACCAGCCGCUGCCUCCCCCAAAUUUCUCCCUCCCCCAUUUCUGUUUCUCCGACUCUGGAUCUCGGUCUUUCCGCCUCUCCUGGCUCUGUCUCUCUCCCUCCCUCUCUGGGUCUCUCUCUUUUUCCCCAGCUUCCUUCUGCCACCCAGACCCUUCCCCCCCAUCACUACCCUUCCCCCCAUCCAUCUCCUCUCCGUGGCUCCCCCAUUCUCAGCGGCUCCCCUCCCCCUCCCUCCUCCCUCCCUCUCUCGUCCUCCAGCUCCGCACUUUACCCAGCGACACGAGAACCAAAUUGUCUCCUCACCUUUUUUUUUCCCCAUCCCGACCCCCUCUACCUCGGGGCCCAAGCUCAGAGCUGCCCCUCAGCCUCCUCUCCCACCUCGACAGCCCCAUUCCCCGUAAGCCUCCUCAUCUCCACCCCCCAACCAGGUCGGACGCCUGGGUCCCUCGCUGCUGGGGGAGGGGGAGCAGUGAGAAUUGGGAGCCACGAGGGUUUUUCUGGGGGGGUGCCGACAGGGGGCUCAGCGUCCCCUCCCCAGUGCAUCGGAGAGUUGACCUAUCGUUAAGAGCUAAAGAGAGAUUGAGAGAUUUAUUUUUCCCAAGUAGAGGACAAAACAGGUGAAGAGCUGGCGCCCAUGGCCGCCCUCUGACCCCCUCCCCGGCCGCAGCCUCCUCCUCGCCGCCCCCUCCCCAGCC